RNAcentral lists this ribosomal RNA (530 nucleotides) under uncultured bacterium. Its description in RNAcentral is "partial 16S ribosomal RNA". It matches the Rfam family "Bacterial small subunit ribosomal RNA", at positions 355 to 902 of the family's 1533-position model. The record is from RNAcentral.
UGGGGAAUAUUGGACAAUGGGCGCAAGCCUGAUCCAGCCAUGCCGCGUGAGUGAUGAAGGCCUUAGGGUUGUAAAGCUCUUUCGCCGGUGAAGAUAAUGACGGUAACCGGAGAAGAAGCCCCGGCUAACUUCGUGCCAGCAGCCGCGGUAAUACGAAGGGGGCUAGCGUUGCUCGGAAUCACUGGGCGUAAAGCGCACGUAGGCGGAUCGUUAAGUCAGGGGUGAAAUCCUGGAGCUCAACUCCAGAACUGCCCUUGAUACUGGCGAUCUCGAGUUCGAGAGAGGUUGGUGGAACUCCGAGUGUAGAGGUGAAAUUCGUAGAUAUUCGGAAGAACACCAGUGGCGAAGGCGGCCAACUGGCUCGAUACUGACGCUGAGGUGCGAAAGCGUGGGGAGCAAAACAGGAUUAGAUACCCUGGUAGUCCACGCCGUAAACGAUGGAUGCUAGCCGUUGGGGGGUUUACCUCUCAGUGGCGCAGCUAACGCCUUAAGCAUCCCGCCUGGGGAGUACGGUCGCAAGAUUAAAACUU